Molecule: microRNA precursor, 125 nt
Organism: Brassica oleracea var. oleracea
Lineage: Eukaryota; Viridiplantae; Streptophyta; Magnoliopsida; Brassicales; Brassicaceae
Rfam family: MIR9563 microRNA precursor family
Source: Rfam
GAAAUAUAAAAACCCGUCUCUUAAUUUUUAACUAAAAAAACUAAGAACCGGUUCUUAAAUAAGAGUUUUAAGAGCCGGUUAUCAACUUUUUUAGUUAAAAGUUAAGAGACGAAUUCUUAUAUUCU